Molecule: ribosomal RNA, 707 nt
Filed under: Limosilactobacillus fermentum
Lineage: Bacteria; Bacillati; Bacillota; Bacilli; Lactobacillales; Lactobacillaceae
Description: bacterial SSU rRNA
Rfam family: Bacterial small subunit ribosomal RNA
Source: RNAcentral
GUGGCGGACGGGUGAGUAACACGUAGGUAACCUGCCCAGAAGCGGGGGACAACAUUUGGAAACAGAUGCUAAUACCGCAUAACAACGUUGUUCGCAUGAACAACGCUUAAAAGAUGGCUUCUCGCUAUCACUUCUGGAUGGACCUGCGGUGCAUUAGCUUGUUGGUGGGGUAACGGCCUACCAAGGCGAUGAUGCAUAGCCGAGUUGAGAGACUGAUCGGCCACAAUGGGACUGAGACACGGCCCAUACUCCUACGGGAGGCAGCAGUAGGGAAUCUUCCACAAUGGGCGCAAGCCUGAUGGAGCAACACCGCGUGAGUGAAGAAGGGUUUCGGCUCGUAAAGCUCUGUUGUUAAAGAAGAACACGUAUGAGAGUAACUGUUCAUACGUUGACGGUAUUUAACCAGAAAGUCACGGCUAACUACGUGCCAGCAGCCGCGGUAAUACGUAGGUGGCAAGCGUUAUCCGGAUUUAUUGGGCGUAAAGAGAGUGCAGGCGGUUUUCUAAGUCUGAUGUGAAAGCCUUCGGCUUAACCGGAGAAGUGCAUCGGAAACUGGAUAACUUGAGUGCAGAAGAGGGUAAUGGAGCUCCAUGUGUAGCGGUGGAAUGCGUACAUAUAUGGAAGAACACCAGUGGCGAAGGCGGCUACCUGGUCUGCAACUGACGCUGAGACUCGAAAGCAUGGGUAGCGAACAGGAUUAGAUACCC